CAUCUCUGUAUAACUCCUAACUAAUGAGUUUGCUUUUACAAGCUCUGUUUUCCUUCAGUUUUGCAGACACAGAAAGUUUGUUGCUACAAGGUGUUUUUAAAAACUUACCAAAUAAAUAAAUCUUGGAAAAAAUGUUUUAUUCAUCUUACUAGGGAAUUAGUCUACCAAAUCAGUGAAUAAAUAUAGCUCAGAUUGAUGAAAACAGUAGAAUUACAUUUUUAUGGUGUUUACUGAGCAAGUAUCCACCUUCAUGAAUAAAAAUACCUUUUGUUCUUUAGUUCCAUCUCAAGUUAACAAAUUGUUGGAAAGCAGUGCAGUCCACGAAGAACAUUUAGUGUUGAGUGGGCAUUUUGAAAUGUGAGGUAAGGCAAAUUUGUCAAUAGUCAGCAUAAAUGCUUGAUUCUCUGGCUACAUCUCUUCCUCCUCAGUCAAGUCACAUUUAAAAGGAAACAUUUCUGAAUUGUUUUUACUAAUGAUUGAAUGAUAGCAUGACCACAUCUUCUUCCCUACUCUAGGCUUCCUACAUCUGAGCUAUUGGGAAUAAGACACAAUGAAGAAUGAAAUUGAUACUUCUGAAGGAGAUCCUCAAAUGCUGAUAGGACCUUGACACCAGCCGGUGUCCACGUUCUUGACACCAUAUGAGGGAAGGAAUUCAAGGACAAGUUUGGAAAUACUGAAAGUAUGAGGAUUUGUUACAAGGUGAAAAGUACACACUUAAGCAAAAACAGUGUGGGCAUCCUCAAGAGAAAGUCCUGCCAUGAGAUUUCUCAGAGCCGUGGUGUCACCAAUGUUUACACCAAAUAUGGGUGUUCUUGGAACUGUCAUGGCACUGUGAAGACUUGAAGCUCAGUACAUGCUUUGAGCUCACAAUGGCUGUCUCCAUUUGUAUCAUGGAUCUAUGGCUUUCUAAGGAAUGUAGACUGCAAUUAAUGUUGCAGGGAAUUCAUUCUCUUUUUCAAGACCGUCUUCUCAAAGGUACUGAUAUGCAAUUCUAUAUGGGCCAUGUUCCUUCUCAUCCUGUUAUACACUCAUUUUUCUAAGAUUUCAUUGUAAUUCUGGGUUUGGUAUGCUAUUUUUUUUUUUUUUCAUCUCGGUUCUUAUGUUGUCUUCUUUCUUCUGUUCCUUGUUUUAAUUUUGCUAAACAAU
RNAcentral lists this long non-coding RNA (1146 nucleotides) under Papio anubis (olive baboon). RNAcentral describes it as "lncRNA (ENSPANG00000043617.1)". Lineage: Eukaryota; Metazoa; Chordata; Mammalia; Primates; Cercopithecidae. The record is from RNAcentral.